RNAcentral lists this microRNA precursor (122 nucleotides) under Arabidopsis suecica. Its description in RNAcentral is "MIR405". It matches the Rfam family "MIR405 microRNA precursor family". Lineage: Eukaryota; Viridiplantae; Streptophyta; Magnoliopsida; Brassicales; Brassicaceae. The record is from RNAcentral.
UUAACCCAUUUAACAACUCAACCAAUCAAAUUAAAUGAGUUAUGGGUUGACCCAACCCAUUUAACAAAAUGAGUUGGGUCAACCCAUAACUCAUUUAACCCUAAACUCAUUUGAUUAUGAGU